ACGGGUGAGUAAUACAUCGGAACGUGCCCUGUAGUGGGGGAUAACUAGUCGAAAGAUUAGCUAAUACCGCAUACGACCUGAGGGUGAAAGUGGGGGACCGCAAGGCCUCAUGCUAUAGGAGCGGCCGAUGUCUGAUUAGCUAGUUGGUGAGGUAAAGGCUCACCAAGGCGACGAUCAGUAGCUGGUCUGAGAGGACGAUCAGCCACACUGGGACUGAGACACGGCCCAGACUCCUACGGGAGGCAGCAGUGGGGAAUUUUGGACAAUGGGCGAAAGCCUGAUCCAGCAAUGCCGCGUGUGUGAAGAAGGCCUUCGGGUUGUAAAGCACUUUUGUCCGGAAAGAAAUGGCUCUGGUUAAUACCUGGGGUCGAUGACGGUACCGGAAGAAUAAGGACCGGCUAACUACGUGCCAGCAGCCGCGGUAAUACGUAGGGUCCAAGCGUUAAUCGGAAUUACUGGGCGUAAAGCGUGCGCAGGCGGUUGUGCAAGACCGAUGUGAAAUCCCCGAGCUUAACUUGGGAAUUGCAUUGGUGACUGCACGGCUAGAGUGUGUCAGAGGGGGGUAGAAUUCCACGUGU
This 578-nucleotide ribosomal RNA is filed under the name uncultured bacterium. RNAcentral describes it as "bacterial SSU rRNA". It matches the Rfam family "Bacterial small subunit ribosomal RNA", at positions 102 to 676 of the family's 1533-position model. RNAcentral also lists the same sequence under 1 other name. The record is from RNAcentral.